CCUACGGGAGGCAGCAGUGGGGAAUAUUGGGCAAUGGGCGCAAGCCUGAACCAGCAACGCCGCGUGAAGGAAGAAGGCUUUAGGGUUGUAAACUUCCUUUGACAGGGAAGAGUAGAAGACGGUACCUGUCGAAUAAGCUACGGCUAACGACGUGCCAGCAGCCGCGGCAAUACGUAGGUGGCAAGCGUUGUCCGGAUUUACUGGGUGUAAAGGGCGUGUAGCCGGGUUGGCAAGUGAGAUGUGAAAUCCUGCGGCUCAACCGCAGAACUGCAGUGGAAACUGUUGAUCUUGAGUACUGGAGAGGCAGACGGAAUUCCUGGUGUAGCGGUGAAAUGCGUAGAUAUUAGGAAGAACUCCAGUGGCGAAGGCAGUCUGCGGGACAGCAACUGACGGUGAGGCGCGAAGGCGUGGGGAGCAAACAGGAUUAGAUACCCUUGUAGUC
Molecule: ribosomal RNA, 442 nt
Filed under: uncultured bacterium
Lineage: Bacteria
Description: partial 16S ribosomal RNA
Rfam family: Bacterial small subunit ribosomal RNA
Source: RNAcentral